This 281-nucleotide ribosomal RNA is filed under the name uncultured bacterium. Its description in RNAcentral is "partial 16S ribosomal RNA". The record is from RNAcentral.
CUGCUGCCUCCCGUAGGAGUCUGGGCCGUGUCUCAGUUCCAGUGUGGGGGGCCUUCCUCUCAGAACCCCUACGCAUCGUCGCCACGGUGGGCCGUUACCCCGCCGUCAAGCUAAUGCGCCGCAUGCCCAGCCGCCACCGGAUUCCUCCUUUCGCCCGGACCGGAUGCCCGGUCCGGGCGGCAUGGGGUAUUAGGCCGGGUUUCCCCGGGUUAUCCCCCUGUGGCGGGCAGGUUCCAUACGUGUUACUCACCCGUGCGCCGGUCGCCGGCAGGUGCAGGCAA